AGAGCGAACGCUGGCGGCAGGCCUAAAACAUGCAAGUCGAACGCCCGUAGCAAUACGGGAGUGGCAGACGGGUGAGUAACACGUGGGAACGUGCCUUUUGGUCCGGAACAACACAGGGAAACUUGUGCUAAUACCGGAUAAGCCCUUACGGGGAAAGAUUUAUCGCCAAGAGAUCGGCCCGCGUCUGAUUAGCUAGUUGGUGAGGUAACGGCUCACCAAGGCUACGAUCAGUAGCUGGUCUGAGAGGAUGAUCAGCCACACUGGGACUGAGACACGGCCCAGACUCCUACGGGAGGCAGCAGUUAGGAAUCUUGGACAAUGGGCGCAAGCCUGAUCCAGCCAUGCCGCGUGAGUGAUGAAGGCCUUAGGUGUAAAGCUCUUUCAGCGGGAAGAUAAUGACGUACCCGCAGAAGAAGCCCGGACUAACGUUCGUAGCCAGCAGCCGC
RNAcentral lists this ribosomal RNA (446 nucleotides) under uncultured soil bacterium. Its description in RNAcentral is "bacterial SSU rRNA". It matches the Rfam family "Bacterial small subunit ribosomal RNA", at positions 26 to 518 of the family's 1533-position model. The record is from RNAcentral.